AAUGCGGAAAGUGAGAAGGCGGGAUAAAAAAGCGAGGCCGAAGGUAGGCUGGCAGAUAGGUUCAUUCGCUUACUCCUUUCUGCCCGCGGACGCCGCCAAGUAAGCAUCGUUGAAGUUCCCCCCCCUCCCACUGCCGUCAUGUCUAAGUCAGAGUCUCCUAAAGAGCCCGAACAGCUGCGGAAGCUCUUCAUCGGAGGUUUGAGUUUUGAAACAACCGAUGAAAGUCUGAGGAGCCAUUUUGAGCAAUGGGGAACGCUCACGGACUGCGUGGUAAUGAGAGAUCCAAACACCAAGCGCUCCAGAGGCUUUGGCUUUGUCACCUAUGCCACUGUGGAGGAGGUGGAUGCAGCCAUGAAUGCAAGGCCACACAAGGUGGAUGGAAGAGUUGUGGAACCAAAGAGGGCUGUGUCCAGAGAAGAUUCUCAAAGACCUGGUGCCCACCUAACGGUGAAAAAGAUUUUCGUUGGUGGCAUUAAAGAAGACACUGAAGAACAUCACCUAAGAGAUUAUUUUGAACAGUAUGGGAAAAUUGAAGUGAUUGAAAUCAUGACUGACCGAGGCAGUGGCAAGAAGAGAGGCUUUGCUUUUGUGACCUUUGAUGACCAUGACUCUGUAGACAAGAUCGUCAUUCAGAAAUACCAUACUGUGAAUGGCCACAACUGUGAAGUAAGGAAAGCCCUGUCUAAGCAAGAGAUGGCUAGUGCUUCAUCCAGCCAAAGAGGUCGGAGUGGUUCUGGAAACUUUGGUGGUGGUCGUGGAGGUGGUUUUGGCGGGAACGACAACUUUGGUCGUGGAGGAAACUUCAGUGGUCGAGGUGGCUUUGGUGGCAGCCGAGGUGGUGGUGGAUAUGGUGGCAGUGGGGAUGGCUAUAAUGGAUUUGGUAAUGAUGGUGGUUAUGGAGGAGGCGGCCCUGGUUACUCUGGAGAAAGCAGAGGCUAUGGAAGUGGUGGACAGGGUUAUGGAAACCAGGGCAGUGGCUAUGGCGGGAGUGGCAGCUAUGACAGCUAUAACAACGGAGGAGGCGGAGGCGGCUAUGGCGGUGGUAGUGGAAGCAAUUUUGGAGGUGGUGGAAGCUACAAUGAUUUUGGCAAUUACAACAAUCAGUCUUCAAAUUUUGGACCCAUGAAAGGAGGAAACUUUGGAGGCAGAAGCUCUGGCCCCUAUGGUGGUGGGGGCCAAUACUUUGCCAAACCACGAAACCAAGGUGGCUAUGGUGGUUCCAGCAGCAGCAGUAGUUAUGGAAGUGGCAGAAGGUUUUAAUUACUGCCAGAUUUAAUAUCCUUUGAAUGGAAUGACAACUGUAUGGAUUUGGGACUGGCAGAGCUUUGGACUUUACCCUGCCCACUGCCCCUGAUGAUGUUCAAUGCUUCUAUCACAAUUCAAGUUCAAAACUCUGCCAGAGAAUAGAAACCAGCUGCUGGCUGAUGCCACCCUAUAAGUCCACAAAUUAGAAGUGUUUGGGAGACCUUUUUAAACUGACCAGCACCAGGAGGAGUCUGCUACCACAGGCUUUAUCAACUCUUAAAAAAAAAACAGAGACUCAACUAUCCAAGUUCAUGGCUAAAAGGAACAUCCUUGUGAGGACAACCUUUAUCUGAGCCACUGUGCACUUCAUUUUUCACUGCCAUGCAGUUGCUACUGGCUGCUCUGCAGUUUCAAUGUAAUCAUUCAAUUUUGUGAAUGGACUUUUUAAAUAAAAUUCUUUUGACUUUGUU
Manis javanica (Malayan pangolin) is the source of this 1715-nucleotide RNA transcript. It is a transcript of the gene named heterogeneous nuclear ribonucleoprotein A1, with no coding region annotated. The record is from RefSeq and is a predicted model, not a curated record. Lineage: Eukaryota; Metazoa; Chordata; Mammalia; Pholidota; Manidae.